UGCACAAUGGAGGAAACUCUGAUGCAGCAACGCCGCGUGGAGGAUGACGCAUUUCGGUGUGUAAACUCCUUUUAUAUGGGAAGAUAAUGACGGUACCAUAUGAAUAAGCACCGGCUAACUCCGUGCCAGCAGCCGCGGUAAUACGGAGGGUGCAAGCGUUACUCGGAAUCACUGGGCGUAAAGCGCGCGCAGGCGGCCAUUUAAGUUGGAUGUGAAAGCCUACAGCUCAACUGUAGAACUGCAUCCAAAACUAUUUGGCUAGAGUGUGGGAGAGGAAGAUGGAAUUAGUUGU
This 292-nucleotide ribosomal RNA is filed under the name uncultured Campylobacterota bacterium. RNAcentral's name for it is "uncultured Epsilonproteobacteria bacterium partial 16S ribosomal RNA". It matches the Rfam family "Bacterial small subunit ribosomal RNA", at positions 365 to 674 of the family's 1533-position model. Lineage: Bacteria; Pseudomonadati; Campylobacterota. The record is from RNAcentral.